AUUGAACGCUGGCGGCAGGCUUAACACAUGCAAGUCGAACGAGUGGCGGACGGGUGAGUAAUGCAUGGGAAUGUGGCCCAUGGAGGGGGAUAACGACGGGAAACAGUCGCUAAUACCGCGUACCAUAGGAUGAGCCCAAGGGGGAUUAGGUAGUUGGUGGGGUAAAGGCCCACCAAGCCGAAGAUCCCUAGCUGGUCUGAGAGGAUGACCAGCCACACCGGGACUGAGACACGGCCCGGACUCCUACGGUAGGCAGCAGUGGGGAAUAUUGCGCAAUGGGGGCAACCUGACGCAGCCAUGCCGCGUGAAUGAAGAAGGCCUUCGGGUUGUAAAGUUCUUUCGGUGACGAGGCGUUAAUCACAGAAGAAGCACCGGCUAACUCCGUGCCAGCAGCCGCGGUAAUAC
RNAcentral lists this ribosomal RNA (405 nucleotides) under uncultured bacterium. RNAcentral describes it as "partial 16S ribosomal RNA". It matches the Rfam family "Bacterial small subunit ribosomal RNA", at positions 29 to 526 of the family's 1533-position model. The record is from RNAcentral.